Mycena alexandri is the source of this 92-nucleotide non-coding RNA. Lineage: Eukaryota; Fungi; Basidiomycota; Agaricomycetes; Agaricales; Mycenaceae. The record is from the annotation of a GenBank genome assembly.
GACCUGAUGGUGUAGUGGUUAACACGCUCGCUUUGAAUAGGUCAUUGCCAACAAGUGAGCGGGAGUCUCCGGUUCAAAUCCGGGUCAGGUAA